This 253-nucleotide ribosomal RNA is filed under the name uncultured bacterium. RNAcentral describes it as "partial 16S ribosomal RNA". It matches the Rfam family "Bacterial small subunit ribosomal RNA", at positions 524 to 776 of the family's 1533-position model. The record is from RNAcentral.
GACGAGCUCUCCAAACGUUAUUCGGUAUCACUGGGCUUAAAGAGUUCGUAGGCGGUCUGGUAGGUGAGGUGUGAAAUCCCCCGGCUCAACCGGGGAACUGCGCUUCAAACCGCCGGACUUGAGAGAGACAGAGGUAGGCGGAACAGAUGGUGGAGCGGUGAAAUGCGUUGAUAUCAUCUGGAACACCGGUGGCGAAAGCGGCCCACUGGGUCUCAUCUGACGCUGAGGAACGAAAGCUAGGGUAGCGAACGGG